CGAGCCGGGCGGACGGCCGCGUGGGCCCCUUCGGGGACCCCCGAGGAACGUCCGGGCUCCACAGGGCAGGGUGAUGGCCAACAGCCACCCGGGGUGACCCGCGGGACAGUGCCACAGAAAACAGACCGCCGGAGGCUUCGGCCCCCGGUAAGGGUGAAACGGUGGUGUAAGAGACCACCAGUGCCCGAGGCGACUCGGGCAGCUAGGUAAACCCCACCCGGAGCAAGGUCAAAAGGGACACCCCGGUGUUCCUGCGCGGACGUUCGAGGGCUGCCCGCCCGAGUCCGCGGGUAGACCGCACGAGGCCGGUGGCAACACCGGCCCUAGAUGGAUGGCCGUCGCCUCGGCACGCCGCAAGGCCCCCGAGGAACAGAACCCGGCGUACAGCCCGACUCGUCUG
Molecule: RNase P RNA, 400 nt
Filed under: Streptomyces sp. SolWspMP-sol7th
Lineage: Bacteria; Bacillati; Actinomycetota; Actinomycetes; Kitasatosporales; Streptomycetaceae
Description: Bacterial RNase P class A
Rfam family: Bacterial RNase P class A
About the family: Ribonuclease P (RNase P) is a ubiquitous endoribonuclease, found in archaea, bacteria and eukarya as well as chloroplasts and mitochondria. Its best characterised activity is the generation of mature 5'-ends of tRNAs by cleaving the 5'-leader elements of precursor-tRNAs.
Source: RNAcentral